CCAGAAUGUUUCAAUUACAUUGGUCCUGGUGUUUUUCAAUUUCUCUGUGACUUGCAGUCAUCUGCUUUGAGAAGGCUCAAACUGAAGAAGGAAUAGCACACCAGAGAUGGGGAGAAGGGUGCUUGUGUCCAAGGCUUGCCUGAAUUGCAGCAACAACCUAGAACUGUUAAAAGAAACACUAAAUAAAAAAGGACCAAGACAGCCUAGAACUGAGGUUCAAAGCUUUAAUUGAUAUAUCCUGGUAUUAAGACAUCUUAUUAUUUAAUGGAAAAAUUAGUACAGACAUAUUUAUAUUAAAUAAAUAUACUUUUACUUUUCAAAA
Ictidomys tridecemlineatus (thirteen-lined ground squirrel) is the source of this 322-nucleotide non-coding RNA. The record is from RefSeq and is a predicted model, not a curated record. NCBI's taxonomy places the organism in Eukaryota, Metazoa, Chordata, Mammalia, Rodentia, Sciuridae.